CUGGCCUACGGGAGGCAGCAGUGAGGAAUAUUGGUCAAUGGGCGCGAGCCUGAACCAGCCAAGUCGCGUGAGGGAAGACGGUCCUGUGGAUUGUAAACCUCUGUUGUCGGGGAGCAAAAGACGCCACGCGUGGCGUUCCGAGAGUACCCGGAGAAAAAGCAUCGGCUAACUCCGUGCCAGCAGCCGCGGUAAUACGGAGGAUGCGAGCGUUAUCCGGAUUUAUUGGGUUUAAAGGGUGCGCAGGCGGAAGAUCAAGUCAGCGGUAAAAUUGAGAG
RNAcentral lists this ribosomal RNA (275 nucleotides) under uncultured bacterium. RNAcentral describes it as "partial 16S ribosomal RNA". It matches the Rfam family "Bacterial small subunit ribosomal RNA", at positions 335 to 606 of the family's 1533-position model. The record is from RNAcentral.